GACGAACGCUGGCGGCGUGCUUAACACAUGCAAGUCGAACGGAAAGGCCCUGCUUUUGUGGGGUGCUCGAGUGGCGAACGGGUGAGUAACACGUGAGUAACCUGCCCUUGACUUUGGGAUAACUUCAGGAAACUGGGGCUAAUACCGGAUAGGAGCUCCUGCUGCAUGGUGGGGGUUGGAAAGUUUCGGCGGUUGGGGAUGGACUCGCGGCUUAUCAGCUUGUUGGUGGGGUAGUGGCUUACCAAGGCUUUGACGGGUAGCCGGCCUGAGAGGGUUACCGGCCACAUGGGGACUGAGAGACGGCCCAGACUCCUACGGGAGGCAGCAGUGGGGAAUAUUGCACAAUGGGCGGAAGCCUGAUGCAGAAACGCCGCGUGCGGGAUGACGGCCUUCGGGUUGUAAACCGCUUUCGCCUGUGACGAAGCGUGAGUGACGGUAAUGGGUAAAGAAGCACCGGCUAACUACGUG
Molecule: ribosomal RNA, 468 nt
Filed under: uncultured bacterium
Lineage: Bacteria
Description: partial 16S ribosomal RNA
Rfam family: Bacterial small subunit ribosomal RNA
Source: RNAcentral